CUCACUCACCUGCCUUGUCUCUCGGAUACCCUGCGACAGACAUAGCUACAACAGCACUGCAAAUAACUAUAAAAGGAGAGGUAAGCAUGAUGAGUGGUUUUAUGCAGCUAUGUUGAAUCCUUAUCAAUCUCAUUCCUAAAAUACAAGAGAAGCACGUUUCCACGAGGACAAUUAGUACCUUCCAAGUCUUUCUGGAAAGUGUUUUAACCCAUGCAAAAAAUUACUGAAAGUUCUCCUCGCUCACCCCUCUGGACCAAAAUUACACCUAUACUUGACAUAGUUGUGACAAAAUGGGCUUCAGCUACUCCUAUGGUAAGUAGGAAUCCUGAUGUCCAACAGCCAGCUGUGUUAACACAUGCACACAGCGUGUGAAGAGGUUUAAACCACCAUCAAAAGUGGUGGAAGUACAGCAGCAGCAGUCCAAUCAGAACCAUCAGCCGCUGCAGUUCAGGGAUCCCACCAGUAGGAGGCUAGACUUCACAAUUAAUAUAAAACUGCACCUCGACAGCCUGUGCAGUGGUGUGGUAGUUGUGUUGGGCCCAGGAUAUUAAAGAUACAAGGUGAGUAAAGGAAUAUAAUUUACUGGACCAAUUUCUGCUGGUGAGAUAUACAGGACUUCUCAGAUGUUUGUCUGUGCUCAAAUCCUUGUCCCUCUCACCAGCAGAAGCUGGUCCAAUAAAUGAUAUUACCUCACCCACCUUAUCUCCCUAGUACAGAAUGGCAUAUGGAUCUGAAACAGCAGCAUAGAAACCAUCACUAUAACAACUUUUGUAUUACUUCAAGCCUUUAAAUAAUUUCUAAAUAAAUUGGCAUAGGGUUCUCUCUAUUUUGGGACAGAUUCUAGGAAUCUAACUCCUCAGAAGGAAGAAUUUUUAUGUCCACAUAAAUGCCAUGUGAAGUAGUGGCUUUUUAAUCUCCUAACAAAAUUCAAAUCAGGUUUGGAAAACCAAAAGGCACAUUUUUUAAAAACAUUCAAUAAGUUAACUUAAUGAGAGGAUUCCUGACUGUAGAAAAUGUGUGUGUUUGUACACCCACACCGAAUUGAGCAAUAUCUGUAAACAGUAAAACAAUGGGCUAAAUGUAAGUGAUUUCCCAUGCUAAAAAUGACUCCAGCUGUUUAAAAUUGUGUAUACAGAGGAACCCCAUGAUGUGGCAGUUUGACAGGAAGUGCAGUCUUUUUUUUAGGCCCAAAGCCUAAUGACUAACUUUGUAAAGGUUUUUAGUCAAAUGGGAAGACUUCAUUCAGUUCUUAAAAGACAUGGUAUCUGUAUUUCUAAAUGUCAUUCCAUUGCUACCAUCUUCUUGGAAAAAAAAUACAAAGGGGAAUAAAUAUGAAAAAUGAUUGGCCUUUUAAAAUAAAUGAAGAGUUCUACAGAGCUUAAGCAAAAUUAAAAGAACUUUGAUUUUCAAAAAUAGUAAAUAUGUUUUUAAGAAUAGACUGAUGGCGGUGAAGUUCACACUGUGUCUUUUCUCCUCAGACCAAUAACAUUUCAACAGUGAGGGUUGUUUUUUGUUGACACUGUGUUCCCUGCCUCCUCUAAAUCCACAAUUUAUGCCAUCUUUUAAAAAAAUUAAAGAAAGUAACAUUUUUAGAAUAAUCUGUCAGUAGUCUUAUUGCUCUGAUAACUUUGAAAAUUUGACCAUGAAAAUAAGCAAAAGACCAGUAGUUAUGUGCAUUUUUAUAAUCAUUACAUACCACUGUGUUAAAAUCUAAAAAAAACCAAAAACCCACCACUCUAAGGAACUCAAUUAUUAAUAUUUUAUUGUAUAUAUUACAUAUAAUCUGUAUAUACAUUUAAUACACAUCACAAUUUAGAAAUUAAGCCUUAACUAGGGAACUUUUAAUUAAAUGCUUAAUGAAGACUUGCAUGAAACAGUAUUUUCCUCAUCUCAAAAACAUAUGAAACACUGUAUAUGCAUCACCCUAUUUAUGUCAACAGUAAAACUCCCAGUGACUUCAGUGGGAUCAAAGACUAGAACAGAAUUCUGAAAAAAGCAAAAAAAACUUAACUCACAGAAUAGAGUUACUCAGAGUGAAAGUAAGAGCACUACCUUUUCAUUACGGCCACUUUAGGAACCUGUUUUAAAAGGCACAUAACAAGCACUUUAAACAGUGACUUCCUUGGAGUUUGGA
Molecule: long non-coding RNA, 2134 nt
Organism: Gopherus evgoodei (Goodes thornscrub tortoise)
Lineage: Eukaryota; Metazoa; Chordata; Testudines; Testudinidae
Exons: 2
Source: RefSeq, a predicted model, not a curated record